AUUGAACGCUGGCGGCAUGCUUUACACAUGCAAGUCGAACGGUAACAGGGAGCUUGCUCCGCUGACGAGUGGCGAACGGGUGAGUAAUGCAUCGGAACGUACCCAGUCGUGGGGGAUAACGUAGCGAAAGUUACGCUAAUACCGCAUACGUCCUGAGGGAGAAAGCGGGGGACCGUAAGGCCUCGCGCGAUUGGAGCGGCCGAUGUCGGAUUAGCUAGUUGGUGGGGUAAAGGCCUACCAAGGCGACGAUCCGUAGCGGGUCUGAGAGGAUGAUCCGCCACACUGGGACUGAGACACGGCCCAAACUCCUACGGGGGGCAGCAGUGAGGAAUAUUCGGCAAUGGGGGCAACCCUGACCGAGCAACGCCGCGUGGAGGAUGACGGUUUUCGGAUUGUAAACUCCUUUUCUCAGGGAAGAGCGAGGACGGUACCUGGGGAAUAAGUCACGGCUAACUACGUG
This 460-nucleotide ribosomal RNA is filed under the name uncultured bacterium. RNAcentral describes it as "bacterial SSU rRNA". It matches the Rfam family "Bacterial small subunit ribosomal RNA", at positions 29 to 507 of the family's 1533-position model. The record is from RNAcentral.